ACUCUCUGCUGCCGCCGCAGCAGCAGCAGCAGCUCCCGUCGCUCUUCAGGUCACUCGGAGCAUCACCAUCCUCCGGGGCAGCGCCUCCGCCGCACCGCCCUCACCGUCGUCUUCUGCCGCCUCGUCGCCUCGGGGCCCGUGGAGCGCCCUUGAUUCCCCUCUUUCCCGUGAGUCUGCCGCCUAACCCUGUGGGGCAAGGAGAAUUCCGAAAAAGAUCGUCUUUUUAUUACCUGUUUGUUUCCUCCUGCAGCUCCGACGCCGAGGGGAGACUGGAAGAGGCUCCGGAGGAAGCCGACGCCGGUGGCCGAGGGGGUGGAGACUGCCGAGCC
This 329-nucleotide long non-coding RNA is filed under the name Musa acuminata (dwarf banana). RNAcentral's name for it is "long non-coding RNA (MACU_LNC002854)". The record is from RNAcentral. Lineage: Eukaryota; Viridiplantae; Streptophyta; Magnoliopsida; Zingiberales; Musaceae.